UACGGAGGGUGCAAGCGUUAAUCGGAAUUACUGGGCGUAAAGCGCACGCAGGCGGUCUGUCAAGUCGGAUGUGAAAUCCCCGGGCUCAACCUGGGAACUGCAUUCGAAACUGGAAGACUGGAGUGCAGAAGAGGAGAGUGGAAUUCCACGUGUAGCGGUGAAAUGCGUAGAGAUCUGGAGGAAUACCGGUGGCGAAGGCGGCCCCCUGGACGAAGACUGACGCUCAGGUGCGAAAGCGUGGGGAGCAA
This 248-nucleotide ribosomal RNA is filed under the name uncultured Muribaculaceae bacterium. RNAcentral's name for it is "partial 16S ribosomal RNA". It matches the Rfam family "Bacterial small subunit ribosomal RNA", at positions 524 to 771 of the family's 1533-position model. The record is from RNAcentral. Lineage: Bacteria; Pseudomonadati; Bacteroidota; Bacteroidia; Bacteroidales; Muribaculaceae.